UGGGGAAUAUUGCACAAUGGGCGCAAGCCUGAUGCAGCGACGCCGCGUGCGGGAUGACGGCCUUCGGGUUGUAAACCGCUUUUGAUCGGGAGCAAGCCUUCGGGUGAGUGUACCUUUCGAAUAAGCACCGGCUAACUACGUGCCAGCAGCCGCGGUAAUACGUAGGGUGCAAGCGUUAUCCGGAAUUAUUGGGCGUAAAGGGCUCGUAGGCGGUUCGUCGCGUCCGGUGUGAAAGUCCAUCGCUUAACGGUGGAUCUGCGCCGGGUACGGGCGGGCUGGAGUGCGGUAGGGGAGACUGGAAUUCCCGGUGUAACGGUGGAAUGUGUAGAUAUCGGGAAGAACACCAAUGGCGAAGGCAGGUCUCUGGGCCGUUACUGACGCUGAGGAGCGAAAGCGUGGGGAGCGAACAGGAUUAGAUACCCUGGUAGUCCACGCCGUAAACGGUGGACGCUGGAUGUGGGGCACGUUCCACGUGUUCCGUGUCGGAGCUAACGCGUUAAGCGUCCCGCCUGGGGAGUACGGCCGCAAGGCUAAAACUCAAAGAAAUUGACGGGGGCCCGCACAAGCGGCGGAGCAUGCGGAUUAAUUCGAUGCAACGCGAAGAACCUUACCUGGGCUUGACAUGUUCCCGACGACGCCAGAGAUGGCGUUUCCCUUCGGGGCGGGUUCACAGGUGGUGCAUGGUCGUCGUCAGCUCGUGUCGUGAGAUGUUGGGUUAAGUCCCGCAACGAGCGCAACCCUCGCCCCGUGUUGCCAGCACGUUAUGGUGGGAACUCACGGGGGACCGCCGGGGUUAACUCGGAGGAAGGUGGGGAUGACGUCAGAUCAUCAUGCCCCUUACGUCCAGGGCUUCACGCAUGCUACAAUGGCCGGUACAGCGGGAUGCGACAUGGCGACAUGGAGCGGAUCCCUGAAAACCGGUCUCAGUUCGGAUCGGAGCCUGCAACCCGGCUCCGUGAAGGCGGAGUCGCUAGUAAUCGCGGAUCAGCAACGCCGCGGUGAAUGCGUUCCC
Molecule: ribosomal RNA, 1012 nt
Filed under: uncultured bacterium
Lineage: Bacteria
Description: bacterial SSU rRNA
Rfam family: Bacterial small subunit ribosomal RNA
Source: RNAcentral